UACGUAGGGGGCUAGCGUUGUCCGGAUUUAUUGGGCGUAAAGAGCGUGUAGGCGGCCAGGUAGGUCUGCUGUGAAAACUCGAGGCUCAACCUCGAGACGUCGGCGGAAACCAUCUGGCUAGAGUCCGGAAGAGGAGAGUGGAAUUCCUGGUGUAGCGGCGAAAUGCGCAGAUAUCAGGAGGAACACCGAUGGCGAAGGCAGGUCUCUGGGCCGAUACUGACGCUGAGGAGCGAAAGCGUGGGGAGCGAACAGG
RNAcentral lists this ribosomal RNA (253 nucleotides) under uncultured bacterium. Its description in RNAcentral is "partial 16S ribosomal RNA". It matches the Rfam family "Bacterial small subunit ribosomal RNA", at positions 524 to 776 of the family's 1533-position model. The record is from RNAcentral.